UUAGCCGAUAGCCAACCUAAAAUAGCCGGGAUUAAGUCCACUUUAACUCCUAACCUAACGUAACAAGACAAAUCCUUUCCCACCACAGGGACUGGUAACAAUUACUGCACUCCGUCCGUUGAAUGGAACUACACAGAAACUUAAGGAUGCCAGUGGAGGACCUGCCCGGCAAAGAUUUACUGGCUACACAACUAGAAACUACCUAAACCAGCAUAAACGUUACAUGGUCAAUUCAUCCCUCAAGGCUAUUCUUCCUGUCUUCUCUUCGGCCAGAGUCUUCCAAAUUGUUGUCAUGUGAAAAUGAUGUGAUAUGGAUUUGACGGGGCAACAAAAAGGAAAAGAAAAAGAGAGCUGUGAGAAGGCGAGAGAAGUGGGGUGAGAAAUGUAAGAAGGCAGCGACUAAGAGAGGAUAAAAGAAACAGAAAGACAGCAGGAGAGAAAGAAGAGGAAGGACACCUGAUGCUAUAGGGUACAUGCAGUCCACGAUCUCUUGGAUCUGCGACAGCUCCAGGUUCUUCAUGAAGUCAUUGUCCAAGAUUGCCUCCUUGAUCAGAUCCUUGGACCUGGAGACGAGCGGAAGACCGUCCUCCCCGAGUGCGUCAGGCUGCGACCCGGAGAGAGCGCAUGGCGAGAAGGGCGCCUACAGGAAUCUGUGGCACAGUGCAGUCUGCAGCCGCGCUCGGCUCACAUGAAUAAUGGACUCGGCGAGAAAGCCACUGCUCGGAGAACCAUGUCAUCGUAUCUCAUCAACUCGCCCUGAGGCUGCUGAGUUAAAAAUAAAUGAGCACUGGAGCCUUAAUGGAACUUGAAGGUGAUGGAAACCUGAUGAACCUCAAUGUAAAAGAUAAACAACGCGUUUUUCAUCUAUUGGAGAAGGAGGCGCUGCUGCUUGUAUCUGUUGGACUACUUUUUGUAUUUUAUCUACGUGGAAAGAAAUGCAUAUAUUUGAAAAUGAAAACUAUUAGUGCGGACUUCUGUGAUAAAUUUGAGCCCAAAUAGUGCUUUAGAAAGCAAAUUAUUUAUGUUUUAAGAGGAAAAGAACAGUUCCACUUUUCCCAAAUCCCUGUCUAGCAACUAUUAAUUAAACUAUUAAUUAAUUUAAGUGGAGCAAGUAAAGGUGCUAAAAGCAAAACAUGAUAAUCUUACAGAUUGCCAAACAGCUGCAGCAGCAGACAUGAGAAUGCCAAAGCUACUGAGGCUCACGACACUCCGCAGCAGCUCCACAUUCCUCAUCUAAUCUUGAAUUGUGUGUGGACUCUGAGCUGCUGGUGUCUGUUCACAUUAUCCCAAUGAGUCAUCUGAAGCUCAGCGAGCAGCAUUUGGCCUCAUGCGCUCUGGACACAUUCAGAGGAGGAUAAACUGCCAAGGACAAUCUGAUAGGAUGAGCAGUCAUUGAGGCUACAGCAGCAAUUACUGCGCUGAGAGGAUGGGGAGGGAGGCGCAGGCUGACAGCGAGGAUACAAAGCUGGUUGAACGAGAUUACUUUGGCUGUAAGGAUAGGUCUUUUUGGCUUGGUGGUAAAAAGCAUAUUUUUCUGACUGAAAGCGUGGAAACAAUCCCGGACAGCUACAGCCCUUCAAAUGAAAGAGCACGGCUGCCCUCUUGUGGUGGCUAAAAGCAUCAACUGAGCAAACACCAAAAAGGUGCCAUGCCUCUGCUCAACAGGCAAAAACGUCCAAGCACUAAUGAUCCUACAGUGUGUUUCAUUGCAUCAGUGGAUGACUGAGCAACAUGCUCUGUGGUAGUGAACCAUCAGGUCUAUUACAAAUACUGACAUGUGCAGUAGUCCUAUGUGCAGAGUGAAAACAAGUGCACAUCAGCAGCUUAGCAAACAAUGCUAAACCAGUUUUUAGAUGUCACAGAGACAAACAAAUGUGUACAUUUCAACUUUAAAUGAGAUAAAGCAACUGUGAAGACCACCUGUAAGCAAUGCAGUUAACUGCGUGAUUAAGCUCUUAAAAUAAAUGUUCCCCCCAAAAGAUUUGUUUUGUAGACAAACACCCAAACCUCUACUGAAGCCCAGCUUUUCUCCUCUGAGCUAAUAAAAAAAACUCAUAUUUUCUUUUAUCUCUGUCAAGGGAAGGGCGCAGGGCUCAAAGCUUGAGCAGCAGCAAAGUUUCCUUCAUAUCAGGAAACUGCAGGUGCCUGGAGAUUUUCAGACUCUGCAAUCCAGUGUUUGCAUCCCCACAUCCUCCCAUCAUCAAAAGGCCCUCCCACUGUCCUUCAAAGCACCUCUGCGCUUUAAAUUUCACCUCUCUAACCAUCCAGCCCAGCCCUUUUCCUAUGCAGAUCAAUAGAAACAGGAUCCGUUGCUCCAUGCUGCGGUAAUCCGAUGAGCAGGGCAGGCCGCCGGCUGGUGCCACGUCCUGACUCUAAUGGGGGUCACACCGUCUCAGACCCCGCGGAGGCCCAGCAGGCGCGACGGCGCAGGUGAACGCCCUUUCUCCAGGCACCGAGAGCAAUCAGGUCUUCUCACCAGCUUUUUUGCAAAUGCAAACAGGUUUACUUCCGUUUCACUGCACAGUGUGUUUGGCCGCAUGCAAUUGCUCCACUGGGCCCACAUAUUGUGCCUCAUCAGCUGACGCAUAAUUUGACUAUUUCCAGAAUAAACCCUGGUUCAACAGAAAGGUUGACAAAAGAUGAUUGGUACACCUAAUUGUUUUUGUCUGGAGUGUAGCUUGUCAGUAGGGUUCCAAUUGUAUUAGAUUUUCACAAUACAACAACUGUCUCAUAAAAUAUCACAGUAUAUGGCAUGACAUUGUUAUUAGUAGUAUUAGUAUUAGUAUUAGUAAUAGGCUUAUUAGUAUCAUUAUUAUCAGUUACAAUGACCCUUAAAGGAAUGAGAACAGAAGUUUUUUGUUAUAUUUCUGUCUCAGAAAAACCUCCUCUUAAAAAUAAAUAAAAAGAUGUGCACACGUUAGUGAGAUUCCCUGUCUGGUUGCAUAUAUUUCCCAAAACAGACAAGCAAAUGCAUGGAUAACUGUCAAUUUUCAUGACAUGGUAUACCGCUGCAACCCUACUUGUUAGUCAUUAUUUCUCAAUGAACCUGGGUCAUUCAUGACUUUCAAACCUCAUUCUCAAAUAUCUGUAUCUCUUGCCUUUUUUGUGUUUGUUUGAAGGCACACUGAUGAGUCAAUGAGUGCAAACGAUAGGCCCCGCCUGCAGUUUAUUAAUGCAAAUGAUGACUGGCAAUUGUCUAGCAUC
Long non-coding RNA from Micropterus salmoides (largemouth bass), 3204 nucleotides. RefSeq lists it as uncharacterized. The transcript is spliced from 6 exons. The record is from RefSeq and is a predicted model, not a curated record. Lineage: Eukaryota; Metazoa; Chordata; Actinopteri; Centrarchiformes; Centrarchidae.